GGACAGGUAGCUCAGUUGGUAGAGCACGGCCCUGAAAAGGCCGGUGUCGCUGGUUCGAUCCCAGUCCUGUCCA
This 73-nucleotide transfer RNA is filed under the name Aeoliella mucimassa. It matches the Rfam family "tRNA". Rfam says of the family: Transfer RNA (tRNA) molecules are approximately 80 nucleotides in length. Lineage: Bacteria; Pseudomonadati; Planctomycetota; Planctomycetia; Pirellulales; Lacipirellulaceae. RNAcentral also lists the same sequence under 1 other name. The record is from Rfam by way of RNAcentral.